UUGAAAGGGAAACGAUUGAAGUCAGUCGUACCAGCGGGAAUCAACCUUUCGAGUGGGGGUUNNNGAGUUUUGAAGAGUGUCAAAACCUUUGAGAUUUCNAAAUUUUCGCUCUUUUGGUGUACUUUCUCGUGGGUAGGUUAACAUCGAUUUUGAUCAUCAUAAAAAGAUUGGAGGAAUGUAGCUUCGAUCUUGUAUUGAAGUGUUAUAGCCUUUGGUAAAUGUGAUGAUUAGGAUCGAGGAUUGCAACGAAUACCCUUUUGGGCUAUCCGCCUGAUCUCUGAUACGUGGCCUUGGUAUCGAAAGCGUGCUUAUGGUAUUGAGGUAUUACGGUCAAAAGGUUAGAACGGAUUACAUUCGUUAAGGAUGUUGACGUA
RNAcentral lists this ribosomal RNA (374 nucleotides) under uncultured Glomeromycotina. RNAcentral's name for it is "LSU rRNA". Lineage: Eukaryota; Fungi; Glomeromycota. The record is from RNAcentral.